AGCUAAUAUCAAAAUGAGGUACUCAAUUGGGACUGCAGAAAGUGAUGCUGCAUCUAGGAAGAGGAAGGGCAAGUGCAAAGAGGGAGAGGAUGAAGUUGAAAGAGAAAGAAAAGCAUCUCAAGAGAGAAGGUUGGCCACAUUGGAUAUUUUUGCUGGUUGUGGUGGCUUGUCAGAGGGAUUGCAGCAUGCAGGCAUCUCAUCAACCAAGUGGGCCAUUGAAUAUGAAGAACCUGCUGGAGAAGCAUUCAAGCUCAAUAAUCCAACG
Molecule: unclassified non-coding RNA, 265 nt
Filed under: Hevea brasiliensis (rubber tree)
Lineage: Eukaryota; Viridiplantae; Streptophyta; Magnoliopsida; Malpighiales; Euphorbiaceae
Source: RNAcentral